Crotalus tigris (Tiger rattlesnake) is the source of this 5057-nucleotide long non-coding RNA. RefSeq lists it as uncharacterized. The transcript has 2 exons. The record is from RefSeq and is a predicted model, not a curated record. NCBI's taxonomy places the organism in Eukaryota, Metazoa, Chordata, Lepidosauria, Squamata, Viperidae.
UAUCUAUCUAUCUAUCUAUCUAUCUAUCUAUCUAUCUAUCUAUCUAUCUAUCUAUCUAUCUAUCUAUCUAUCUAUCUAUCUAUCUAUCUAUCUAUCUAUCUAUCUAUCUAUCUAUCUACCUACCCACUCCUGAGCAAGCAUUUCAUCUUGGUAUCCAAAGAAAAGGGCCAUUAGGCUGCAAAGAAUUUUUAGUUAACUUAGAAAAAAAGAGAGAGCCACGGAUGGCCUCAUCAGGGUCAAUAUGCCUGGGCACAGGACAGAAGAACCGAGUUGAAAGGUUCUAGCUAAUCAAUCAGUUAUAAAGAACAAUCAUGGGUGAAAGCACCGGCCUAGAACACGAGAAUUGUCUUAUCCAUAUUUGAUAGAUUUAAAAUAGAGUUAAAUAAAUUCUAAGGGGAAAAUAGAAUUGCCUGUAAGAGUCGUCACCCUUGUUACCCAAUGGGAUCUGUGAAAAUGUCUGCAGGAUGAUGACGAUGAUGAUAGUCUUAGUUGCUGUGGUGCUGUGAGCUUGUGUGGUGUGUAAUUCAGACUUGCUGUAAAUUUAGGUUUUAGUAUUCUGAGUCUCACAAUUGAUGUUUUUAUUUCUGUCUUGGCAACAAUCAGAAAUGCACUUAACUCCGGCGUGCAAGCAAAACAGUGCAGUGUUCCUGCCCGCAGCUAUCCAUUUGAGGUCAGGAGAGUGGUAAAUUGGGCAGAAAACUGGAAGUUAGCUUUGAAGUAAGAGAGAACCGAACUGAGUAUCGCUGCAGAAGGAUGAAAAAGCGGCUUAGUUAAUAUUUUAAGGAAUGUUCAUUUAAUUUGAACCCACAAUUGGACAUUUUGGUAGAUGUUUGAAUUGUGCUGGCAGACCCUCCUUCCGAAGUAAGAAAAGACCCAGCCUUGAUACCACACUGCUAACGUUGGUUGAUUUUAGUGGUAAUUCAUUUUUAACGUUGACUUUCUACAUCUUAGCAUGUUGCACAAAUUUAUUUAUUUAUUAGAGAAUUUACAUGGCCUCCUGCUCACUUUCAGUGACUCUAGGGGGCGUAUAAAAAAAAACCCAACGCAGACUGAGUAGGGCUACCAGCUCUGAUGGUCAAAAAUACAGCAAAUCACUAAAUAAUAGCAAAAAGUCUCUUUUGCAAAUUACCUGGGUUUUUGCAACCCUGGUUUAUGGUUCCAUGCACUGUAAAAAUUCAGAAAAUUGGCUACUUCGGUAAACUGUGUUCUAAACCCCCCCCCCAUUUUGCUUAAUGGUUAUGUUCACACUUAUCUUUUUUUGUGCCACAAUUGCUGGCUGCCAGCCAGAAAGGGACCUGGAUGCCUGCCAGAGUCCAGCGAUAGGCAAAAUGUUUUGAGUCUUUUAACUAAUAUCUUAAGGCAACAGGUGUGGUGCACAGCUUUAGCAAAGGUCGACGGCAGGAAUUCAAUAAGCAAGUGACAAAUCCAGAGAGAAAAGACAGAAGACACACAGUAAGGUGGAAUCCACAGCAAGAGUUAUCUCAACAAGUUGGAUUUUCAGCCUCUGCACUCAGAGAGCAAGGCCGAUAUAUCUGCCCUGCAGAAUAGGUGCUCCAACACUGGAGAUUUUGGGACGUUUAUCUGACAUGGUAUAGGGUUUCCUGCUUGAGCAGAGGGCUGGACUAGAAGACCUGCCAGGUCCCUUCCAACUCUUGUCAUUCUGUUAUUCUCCACCCCAUGCAGAGCUGUGGCAUGGACUCUUCCGUUUUCUUCUUUCUUGGCAUGUUUCUCAGAUCUAAGGGGUUUUAUCACGUGUCUCUGCUUAGGAGUGGCUGGUUGGACUUGAGGGUCGUGAGAAGGGGGUCAGUGAGGGCAGGCAAGGGGUCCUGUGGGCUUGCUGGAUCUGCUUUGUGGGUCUGAGGGGGGGGGGGCGUCACCAAUAGUGGAAUUGCCCACACCAGGUCUAUGGUCUCUAGAUGUCCCGCCUUCAUUUCAUCCCCAUCUUUAUUAAGGGCCCAGUAGCUCAGAACAUUAACCAGACAGCUACAAAUCUAGCAGCUGUGUUUGCACAAUGUUUGGAGCCUGCUUGCGUGUUUGUGCGACGCCCAUUGAGCGUGUUGCGCAAACUCAUCUCCUUUCGUGAGCAAGGGCGUUUAGCGUACUUUGCAAUCCCAGAAAAUGAAUUCAGUACGAUAAAAGUUUUUACUCCACCUAAACUCCUGCUAGAUUUUUUUAGUGUUUCUCAUCCUUGACAAUUUUAAGGCACGUGGACUUCAACUCCCAGAAUUCCACAGCCAGCAUUGCUGAAGUUGAAGUCCACAUGCCUUAAAAUUGUCAAGGUUGAGAAACACUGCUAGAAAGACAGGGGAGCUAAUCCAGUUCCUAGGACAUCAGGGCAAGGUGCCAUUUUAAUGACAACAGCCAGCUCUCUGGGAGCUUUCUCGACUUCCUAAGUCCGCACGAUAUCUGGAGGCAUUGAUGUGCAAAAUUAUGGGAAGAUGUACAGCCCGGUUUAUUGUAUGGCUCUUCCAAGGAAUGUCUUGUAGAUGGUUCUGAGUGUAGGAUUACAGGCUAAAGGGGUUGAUUUGUACGUCCCCAUUUUUGCUAUUCAAUAGCUGUUCACGGAAGGAAUUGGCCCAACUGAAAAAAUACACUGCGAUGUCAUGGAUGUGUUUGUGCUGCUAGAGCUAAUGUGGUGCACACCGAAGGCACAAUAUUGUGUUUCAGUCGAAUCGGAAACGAAGAUGGGUGGAACAGCCUUUAGCAUCCUUCUCCUACUUAAUCACUUUGAAAGACGCUGGAUUGAACCAGUAUGUCUCAAUCUUGGCAACUUUAAAGACGAGUGGACUUCAACUCCCAGAAUUCCGGAGUUGAAGUCUGUAGGUCUUCAAGUCGCCAAAGCUGAGAAAUCACUCUCAAUGUCUCUGCCCACUGGGCUUCCUUGUGAAAAAUAUCUGAUGGCUGUGAGGUUGCAGAAGGCUCUCUUUGACCAAUGAAUUCUGCCAUAUGGUGUUUAGGUUGAGAACCCCUGGUAUAGGGAAUGAUACUUAUUCAUUCCUCUUAAUUUCCGCGAACUUCUAAAAUAGAAAGGGUAUGCCAGGGAAAAUUAGCUGAAAACACACUGAAGUUGUCGAGUAAAUUGGAUGGACUUUUUAUCGGAUGGACUUUUUCAUCAGUCACUGGAAUCCCUCGUAUAAAUAGAAUUAUGUCAGGAGAAUAGCUGAGGACAAUAGAAAGGUCCAGAAUUAAAGUCUAGGAUCAAUGUGAGUGUGUGUUGAAGAAAAUAAGCUUUUCUAUGAUUGGGUAUAAUGGGUGCAAAUAAGCACGGAUUAAGCAUUGGAAAAGACGCAAAGGAAAAAUCUACUUGAAAUAAUGAUUUAAAAAAAAAAAAAAUCCGAAUACACAAACACAGUUAAAUUUACACCAGUGCAAUUCCAUCCAAAGUCUAUUACUAUAUUUGCUGCAUUAUACACUAAUGUAGUGUAUAAAGUUCACACUAAUGACCGUUUUAUAUUAAUAACCAAUUCAUCUUCCCAAGAUUUGUCUGGAACACAGUAGCAGACCCUUUACUUUGGAAGAUGAUGUACAAAAUCAUUACAACCAAUAGCUAAAAAAAACCCAAAUAUUUGCUAAAAUUACUUUAUGUGCAAGAGAGAAAGUUAAGAAGGCCUAGAGGAACUAAAAACUUGGGGAGCUGUUCUGCCUCUGUAUCUUAAUUAUGGAAAACUGUCCUUUGUUUGGAAGUUAGAACUUGGAACAUAAGUUGUAACAUUUUGGCGUUAUUAAGCCCAAAAGAAGACAACAAUACUCUUGUGCUAAUGGACUACAUCUCGCACCUGAUUUUAAGAAAUCAACGAAUCUGCCUGAAACCAGCUUGUCAAAUCUUAAGUCCUCUGAUUCAAAUGUAUGUCGGUGCCUAUAGUGACUUGGUUUUCCUUUGGGAUGGUGUUCUAUUGCUGCAUUGUGAAACAAACCCUAGUGUUAAGAAUAAAUGUGAUGUCCUCUUUUGGUGCCCAGUAGCUAUUCUCUGAGCAGCGCGUGAUGGUGGUUCUUGCUGCUGCUCGGCUAAUAUCUUCCAUGAACUGUAGAUAUUGCCUUGGUUGCCUGAUGCUACUGGUGCCAUUGCCUCCGAAGACUACGUAGCAAGGCGUGGUUACGUACCUGCGCGUAUUAAGAGUCGCCAACUGUGACAUCAUCAUCCAAGCGCAUGUAGCAAAAGCCACACGCACGUACACAAAACCCCUGGGUGGCUGAGGCAAGGAAGGCGGUGCUUAUGGUGCUACUGAUGAUAUUCCACAGCAGGGUUUGUAUUGAGAACCAGUUCUAGCCUACGUGGACUGAUUUAAUGGCCCCAAUUGGGCUUCUACAAACUGUAACUGACAAAAAGAGAGCAAUGAUGGUUGAAUGCCAGAGAGAAGAACGAUAUCUGGAAAAAGAAAGAAAAGGAUGCUGGAAUGUAUAUUCCAUCAGGCAGAUGGACCAGCUCUCACCACAACCUUCUUCUGUGAAGGCCACGAUCCCCGGAGGUAUCUAGUCAGAACUGAAGAGAGGAAGAAAAACUUGUCAAAAUGUCAGCAGCCAAAGCGUGCCACUCCUUCCUAUGUAAAAACCGGACUCUUUUUCUCUCUUACAGGUGUAUUCUAAAUGUUCUACGAUGAGUACCACGAUUUAAAGUUAUAUUACGUAUCAUUGUUAACAAGGGUUUCUCCUAGCAGCACAAGCUCAGCUUACAGGAAGUUUUCAAACAAAAAAAUUAAACCCACCUGUGCAGCAAGCAAACUUAACUUUUCUGGUAUUUUAUCUUCCCCGGGACCGACCUCCUCUUUAUUCCUGAAGUCUACUAGUUAAAUGUGAUUGGCCUUGCAUAAAAGUCACUUCUUUAGGGUGCAGUGUGUGCUGUUUUCUUUUUUUUUUUGGUCUUUCCAAAGACGCGGAAAAGUAAGGAAGUGUAAAACGGUGUCAUGAAUGGAUUUUAUUUUUUCCAUACUUGAGCCUAAUCCGAUUCCUUUUAAUUUCACCUGCAUUUCAUCGUCAACUUGAGGUUGUUGUUGUGCAAAAAAAAAAAAAAAAGUGAUUAAUGAGGAAAAACAAGAAAUAAAACUUGGUAUGAAACCACA